AAUGUCAGGAUGUAGAAAACGUUUUGCAUACCACCAUUUAGUCUGUUUCGGUGUACUGACAUGGAUAGCCCGUGCUGACCACUCAAGGUCAUCCCAUUCAGUUGUUCGGCCGUCAUAGUGAAACAGCAUAAUGGUAAAGUUCUCUGAAAACUUUUUCACUGCUGCAUCAAUGUUACUCUUCUGCUUGAGGCCAACUGUGAAGGUCACAAGGUACCUUGGCUUGAUGAUCAAGUCCUCACUUGGCAGUCCCCACAGCCUUCGAGUAUAAAGAUCAGACUCAGAUGCUACAAUACCCGGGGGUAGCCUCUCGGCGCCUCUGGGAUUUGAUGGAACCCAAAUCUUCGCGGCCUUAUUCUUGUGUGAACUGCCAACACGAUCCUUCAAGGAAUUCAAAACAUUUAAUAGAGCUUGAGUUGAGAGGCCUGACUUUUCCAUGUCAGGUAGAUCAAUCGAUGGGAUAAGAUUCGUAGGUAAGGGCAGCUUGGACAAUGAAAUUGUCGGAAAAGUUACACCUAGGAAAAACCCGAAUACAACUCCAAUAAAAGUAGUCACAAAAAGCCUCAUCUUUUCAUUCCGUCUUCUCGAGUUUGAGCUGCGUUUCAUAGGCGUCCCCAUCUUAGUCACAAGCUCACAAUCCUUUUCAGAAUCAGAAAAGGACUAACAUCUGCUUAGCCCAAAUAUGAGUUGGGAGAUUCCUGAAGUUGAAGUAGCUGAUCUGAAAGAUUAGGAAAGUAAGAAUCUAUGCUUCAACCAAAAUCAAAAUUUGGGAUGUUGUUAAGUUUUCAAUGUUCAUCGGAAUCUUUAAUAUAGGAAAAUCCAA
RNAcentral lists this unclassified non-coding RNA (820 nucleotides) under Hevea brasiliensis (rubber tree). The record is from RNAcentral. Lineage: Eukaryota; Viridiplantae; Streptophyta; Magnoliopsida; Malpighiales; Euphorbiaceae.